Molecule: ribosomal RNA, 460 nt
Filed under: uncultured bacterium
Lineage: Bacteria
Description: partial 16S ribosomal RNA
Rfam family: Bacterial small subunit ribosomal RNA
Source: RNAcentral
CCUACGGGAGGCAGCAGUGAGGAAUAUUGGUCAAUGGACGCAAGUCUGAACCAGCCAUGCCGCGUGCAGGAAGACGGCUCUAUGAGUUGUAAACUGCUUUUGUACGAGGGUAAAAGGAGACACGCGUAUCUGUCUGCAAGUAUCUUACGAAUAAGGAUCGGCUAACUCCGUGCCAGCAGCCGCGGUAAUACGGAGGAUUCAAGCGUUAUCCGGAUUUAUUGGGUUUAAAGGGUGCGUAGGCGGUCGGAUAAGUUAGAGGUGAAAGCCCGAGGCUCAACCUCGGAAUUGCGUCUGAUACUGGUCGGCUAGAGAGUAGUUGCGGUAGGCGGAAUGUAUGGUGUAGCGGUGAAAUGCGUAGAUAUAAGGAAGAACACCGGUGGCGAAGGCGGAUGACUGGACGGCAACUGACAGUGAGGCGCGAAAGCGUGGGGAGCAAACAGGAUUUGAUACCCUUGUAGUC